ACACAUGCCAGUCGAGCGGAGAUGAGGUGCUUGCACCUUAUCUUAGCGGCGGACGGGUGAGUAAUGCUUAGGAAUCUGCCUAUUAGUGGGGGACAACAUUUCGAAAGGAAUGCUAAUACCGCAUACGCCCUACGGGGGAAAGCAGGGGAUCUUCGGACCUUGCGCUAAUAGAUGAGCCUAAGUCGGAUUAGCUAGUUGGUGGGGUAAAGGCCUACCAAGGCGACGAUCUGUAGCGGGUCUGAGAGGAUGAUCCGCCACACUGGGACUGAGACACGGCCCAGACUCCUACGGGAGGCAGCAGUGGGGAAUAUUGGACAAUGGGGGGAACCCUGAUCCAGCCAUGCCGCGUGUGUGAAGAAGGCCUUUUGGUUGUAAAGCACUUUAAGCGAGGAGGAGGAGCUCUAGAUUAAUACUCUAGAUGCUUGGACGUUACUCGCAGAAUAAGCACCGGCUAACUCUGUGCCAGCAGCCGCGGUAAUACAGAGGGUGCAAGCGUUAAUCGGAUUUACUGGGCGUAAAGCGUGCGUAGGUGGUCUUUUAAGUCGGAUGUGAAAUCCCUGAGCUUAACUUAGGAAUUGCAUUCGAUACUGGGAGACUAGAGUAUGGGAGAGGAUGGUAGAAUUCCAGGUGUAGCGGUGAAAUGCGUAGAGAUCUGGAGGAAUACCGAUGGCGAAGGCAGCCAUCUGGCCUAAUACUGACACUGAGGUACGAAAGCAUGGGGAGCAAACAGGAUUAGAUACCCUGGUAGUCCAUG
RNAcentral lists this ribosomal RNA (754 nucleotides) under unidentified microorganism. Its description in RNAcentral is "bacterial SSU rRNA". It matches the Rfam family "Bacterial small subunit ribosomal RNA", at positions 51 to 799 of the family's 1533-position model. The record is from RNAcentral.